This is a long non-coding RNA of Mercenaria mercenaria, 631 nucleotides long. RefSeq lists it as uncharacterized. NCBI's taxonomy places the organism in Eukaryota, Metazoa, Mollusca, Bivalvia, Venerida, Veneridae. The record is from RefSeq and is a predicted model, not a curated record. The transcript has 3 exons.
CUGGCGCCGACACUUUGAAAAUUUGAGGAAACAAAAACAUUCUCCAACGAGUUCUUCAGCUCGGGGAAUGAGAGAAUAGAUUCACCUUUGUGUCGCUUUUCAGAUCGUAUUUUAAUUCCUUUCCGGUACUUUAGUUUCUUUGAACUUCUCUGUUACUAAGCCUAUAUUGAAUUUUUAAAAUUAAGAAAUCUGUGAUUUUACUUGCAGGCAUGACUGAUUAAUGGAAUUAUUUUACUUUUAUAUAGAAUGUGGACGGCACUCCAGUACUGUGCAUGGUUGGAUCUGUUGACAUUUUUAGAAACGCAUCUUGGUCUAUUAUACAGAGUAUUGUUGUACUGCUCCAAAGUGCUUGUUGACAGACUGAAACCACUUGCUUGCGGCUCAUAAGGUUCACUUCUUGAGAGCAGGCAGCUACAAAAUGGAAGGUCAACAAAUCCAGUAUACUUAAAAAGCAAGAAAGAAACACCAGAAAAUAUAAAAAGACAGAAGAACAAGGGAACUUUAAUAAAAAAACAAAACUUUUAAGGAUAGGAAUUCAGGAUUUACUUAGAAACUAAAUUUAUUUUGAGAACAGCAGUGUUUGACUAAGCUCUGUUACUUUAAGAGAUAAUGUAUUAUCGCAUUGGUUUUG